UACAGAGGUGGCAAGCGUUGUUCGGAAUUACUGGGCGUAAAGGGCGCGUAGGCGGUUCGUCAAGUCCUGUGUGAAAUCCCCCGGCUCAACUGGGGAACUGCACAGGGAACUAGCGGGCUUGAGUUCGGGAGAGGGAAGCGGAAUUCCGGGUGGUAGCGGUGAAAUGCGUAGAUAUCCGGAGGAACACCGGUGGCGAAGGCGGCUUCCUGGACCGACACUGACGCUGAGGCGCGAAAGCUAGGGGAGCAAACGGG
Molecule: ribosomal RNA, 254 nt
Filed under: uncultured bacterium
Lineage: Bacteria
Description: partial 16S ribosomal RNA
Rfam family: Bacterial small subunit ribosomal RNA
Source: RNAcentral